Molecule: transfer-messenger RNA, 182 nt
Filed under: Actinomycetota bacterium
Lineage: Bacteria; Bacillati; Actinomycetota
Description: Actinobacteria bacterium transfer-messenger RNA
Rfam family: transfer-messenger RNA
About the family: Bacterial tmRNA, also known as 10Sa RNA or SsrA, is named for its dual tRNA and mRNA-like properties.
Source: RNAcentral
GGGGGUGAACGGUCUCGACUUCGAUUGUUGAGCCAGGGGAAGCGGGCCGAGGAAGCCGGGAUGAUCUCGUUAACCACAAAAACCCGCGCAAUCAAUUAGACGCAGAUAAAACUUCGUCUGAUUCCGUAGAAGCCCUGUAUCAGUGUCGAAGGACCCGGGUUCGAUUCCCGGCACCUCCACCA